GGCCUCUUCAUCACAUUAAAAACAGCCUUUUUCACUUUCCAAUGGUGAAACUUACAGUAUUUCGGAGGACUUCUCUUUAGCAAGUUAGCUCUAUGAUUUAAUAUUUAAAUGCAUUUAUUGCUGUGGUUUACAGUCCUUUAUUAUCAAUUGGAGUAAAUUUGCUUUGGUGUCAUGGUAACGGCUGAGAAGAGAAUCAAAACAGGAGCAGCUUUCUCAGAAAAGCUCCCUCUCAGUUAUCUGGAGGGGAAAAGGUGCCGAAGAGUAAAUGACUGUUGUCAAGUCCUACCUUAAUGUUGCAGCGCGCGCUCUGACAUGACAGCAGCGCUCAGGUGUGACCAGCUGACUGCUCAACGCUCCUCAGAGCCGCUCUCCUCCUCCACACAUCCCUCUCUCUCUCUUUCCUUCCCUCGCUCUGCCUCAGUAGGUUCCCAGUUCACUCCUCCUUCUCUCCACAUCCCACCAUUUAAAGACCAGCGAGCACAGAAAAAUCAGUGUCGCCUCCCAGUUCAGCCUGGAAUGUCAGGCCGGCUCCUGUGGCUGUAAUCUCAAGAAGAAGAGAGGAGAACGAAGGGCUGUUCCAGACUUCCGCAGCACUGAGAGGACUCAGACGUGAAGAACUAACAGUUCCUGAGAGCCAAAGAGAAACAGAGCUGAGAUAAGCAGCCCAGCACUGAUAACAGCAGCUCACUGCUCUCAAACUGGUGCUUUUAAACCUCUAAAAGCUCUUCAAACCCCCCCAGAUAGAGAACCAUCAGCACCGGCGCUAACCAACGACAGGUGUUUGACUUUGGUUCCAGGUCGGAACAUUCACACUUCCUCCGGUGAACUGACAGGCUUGAACAAAUAGAAUUCAUUGAUCAGCGGCGGCCUGCUGCCUGGGAACACGCCACAUGUUCCAGGCUCAUCAUGCUAAACCUGCUCCCAUCUACAGACAUGGGGACACGCUGGGACCUGAGACUGGGACCAGUAUUUGGCCUUUUAGCAGGAAUCUUUUAGAGAGGAUUAAAACCGCUCUUGCAACAACUCGGCCUGCCAUUAGCAGGAACCCCCCCCCCCCCACACACACACACACACGGAGGUCCUGCUCAAGGGUUCUUCCUGUUACGGAGGAGUUUGUCCUGUUGGUCCGGGGUUCUUCCUGGGUUCUGGUGGAGCUGAAGACACAAUAAAGCCGUCGGGGUGAAGCUGGAGACCUGAUGAGAAACACGGCAGGAGGCUUCCUGGAGGAAGUGAGUCCUUCACAAAAGUGGCUGAAAUGAAGAUGAUCAUCUGUGGUAAAGAGCCAGGGUGCAUUUAAGAGACUAAAAACAAAAUAAAUGCCUGUCUAUUCAGGUUUGUACUGUUUUACUCAGCAUAACAGGGUGAAUGAUCCUCAUUGUGAUGAACACACCGACCGCAUCCAGACGAAUGAAAAAUGAUCAGCAAACGAGGGGGAAAUGAUGUUUGUAUUGAGAGAAAAGGCUCAAGAAGCUGAGUCAGUAGCUUCACACAGGCUGGAAGCUUGAAAAAAGCCAAGAUUAAAAUAGGAUGAAGUCUUUUCUAUUAUUACACUCUGACAAUGUCUCAAAAUAAAACUGCAAAGCCUUUUG
Molecule: long non-coding RNA, 1589 nt
Organism: Takifugu rubripes (torafugu)
Lineage: Eukaryota; Metazoa; Chordata; Actinopteri; Tetraodontiformes; Tetraodontidae
Source: Ensembl